AUACGAAGGGGGCUAGCGUUGCUCGGAAUUACUGGGCGUAAAGGGAGCGUAGGCGGACUGUUUAGUCAGAGGUGAAAGCCCAGGGCUCAACCUUGGAAUUGCCUUUGAUACUGGCAGUCUUGAGUACGGAAGAGGUAUGUGGAACUCCGAGUGUAGAGGUGAAAUUCGUAGAUAUUCGGAAGAACACCAGUGGCGAAGGCGACAUACUGGUCCGUUACUGACGCUGAGGCUCGAAAGCGUGGGGAGCAAACAGGAUUAGAAACCCCUGUAGUCC
This 274-nucleotide ribosomal RNA is filed under the name uncultured bacterium. RNAcentral describes it as "partial 16S ribosomal RNA". It matches the Rfam family "Bacterial small subunit ribosomal RNA", at positions 523 to 796 of the family's 1533-position model. The record is from RNAcentral.